UACGUAGGGUGCAAGCGUUUAAUCGGAAUUACUGGGCGUAAAGCGUGCGCAGGCGGUGAUGUAAGACAGAUGUGAAAUCCCCGGGCUUAACCUAGGAACUGCAUUUGUGACUGCAUGGCUAGAGUGUGGUAGAGGGAGAUGGAAUUCCGCAUGUAGCAGUGAAAUGCGUAGAGAUGCGGAGGAACACCGAUGGCCGAAGGCAGCCCCCCUGGGCUAGCACUGACGCUCAGGCACGGAAAGCGUGGGGGAGCAAACAGG
This 258-nucleotide ribosomal RNA is filed under the name uncultured bacterium. RNAcentral's name for it is "partial 16S ribosomal RNA". It matches the Rfam family "Bacterial small subunit ribosomal RNA", at positions 524 to 776 of the family's 1533-position model. The record is from RNAcentral.